UACGUAGGGGGCGAGCGUUGUCCGGAUUUAUUGGGCGUAAAGAGCGCGUAGGCGGCCGGUCACGUCGGGUGUGAAAGCUCAGGGCUCAACCCUGAGACGCCAUUCGAUACGGAUCGGCUAGAGGCAGGUAGGGGAAAGUGGAAUUCCUGGUGUAGCGGUGAAAUGCGCAGAUAUCAGGAGGAACACCGGUGGCGAAGGCGGCUUUCUGGACGAUGACUGACGCUGAAGCGCGAAAGCGUGGGGAGCAAACAGG
RNAcentral lists this ribosomal RNA (253 nucleotides) under uncultured bacterium. RNAcentral describes it as "partial 16S ribosomal RNA". It matches the Rfam family "Bacterial small subunit ribosomal RNA", at positions 524 to 776 of the family's 1533-position model. The record is from RNAcentral.